Oncorhynchus tshawytscha (Chinook salmon) is the source of this 2097-nucleotide long non-coding RNA. NCBI's taxonomy places the organism in Eukaryota, Metazoa, Chordata, Actinopteri, Salmoniformes, Salmonidae. The record is from Ensembl.
CCCUGAGUCAGCUUAGACCACUGACUUCCAACCUCUAAUUCACGUCUCUGUGUUCUCUCCCCAGGUCGGGUGCAUGAGGAUGGGCUGGAGCAGAACGGGCACCAGGGGGGUUGUGUGGGGCCGGGGCUGGGGCUGGGGCUCAGGACCCUAUGUGUGAACGGCACGGAGACAGACCAGGAUCACUACCCAACCACCAGCAGGACCAGGUCCCGAUCAGAGCGCCUCUCCUCCUCCUCCUCCUCCAACCCCUCACGCAAAGGAGUGUCCACCUACAGCCGCAUCCGCAAGCUGUCCAACUGCAAGCAGCAAUGAGGGCAGCCCCUGGACCCCCAGCCCUGAACACAUAUACUGGACAGGUUUGUGUUCUCUAUUUUCCGGCUCCCUGACGUUUGGGUGAUGAAUGUUUUGACAGCCUGGUCUGCAGCAUGCAAUAACAGGACAUGAUGCACUACAGUGGUUUAUUUCACUAGUUAUUUUCUGUCUGACAACGUGAUGAUGUAAGUGAAGCUCCAGAGAGAAAUGGAGAAGAGGCUAGGACUUACCCCCUUCUGCAAAUCAUACUGGGAAUCCCACCCCUCACUGUAUGAAUGUAGCUCGUUUUAGACUACUACACUGUUUCUCCUACAGUUACUCUGUAUUAAAGCGCACAUUGUGAUGUGUAUUGAAUGACAUGGAUCAUUUCAAUAAACUACAAUAUUUGUAACAGUAAUAAGUAUGAUCAUUUAAUAAAAAAUGCAUUAACGGCAUAUGCAGGCUAAAGGAAAGGGAACUAUAGACAAGCCAAGGAUGCAGAACUAUUCAAGAAUGUCUUUGCUUUAGAUUUUUUUUUUGCAUCUUUAGUUUUGUUUUGGUGUUUUAGUCCCCAAAAUGGGUUUUAAUUAUUAUUUAUAUAAAAUGCACCCCAACCUCACCAGCUGUUUAUUCUGUGAUUUUCUCUUUAUUUGUGGCUGAAUUAUAAAUAAAUGUAUCUUGUCAAUCAAACAAUAGGCAGUGUGAAACUUUAUGACCGACUCGUCCCCAGGCUCAAUUGUUAGGUUCUGAGAGCGAGCCAGUUGAUAAACUGACAUUUCACUGAGAUUUAUCAGUUCUGUCACUAAUUUUGUUUGGUUUUUCUAAGAAGCGGUAGAUCUGUUCUAUGUGCGCUCUUCCUAUGCUUCCCGUUAAGUUUCCUUUCUGCGUCUUUUACUUUCGGUUUUGUACACCAGCUGAAAACACUAUUUGGUACAAUGAUUGAUUCUCUACGCUAUACUUGCUUGUUUUGUCACAUAUCUAAAAUUACGCAAACUAUUAUAAUUUUUGCAACCAGGAAAUGACCAUUUCUGCAUAGUGCAUCUUGAAGGAACAUCCUGUAUUUGCUCAUGCUAGUGUGCUGCUGCAGUCAAACCUGCAGGUUCCUCUGGCACUACAACGCUAUACUGCAGAUUGCUUCACCUUGACUUUGAUGUAUUAUUCUGAUUGGUGUAUUGGCUGGUGGGAGGGUUGGCUGCAGCCUACUUUGAUAAGAUGAUAUGUGGCUCCUGCUGUGAUGGGCUUGUUUUAGUGGAGCUGGCCUUGCCACUAUUGAUCUGGACUGUCAAACCUUGUACUGAACUGGACCAUCCCUGAGAGUGAUGUUCACACAGACCAAAAAAGCUACCCCUACCCCAACACUGCAUCUUUUAUAAAUCCAAGGGCAAAAGCGAACAGAAGUCAUAGCUUUGCUGCAGGUUGGUAAAUAAAUCCACAGGGUAUUAGUGGUUGAUCAUAGCAAUAUUGGAGUAAAGCUAUUGGGGAAUCUGAUGGAAUGCUGGCAUUUUUUUAUUCUGUCAUAUUUGCUGAUGUGGUGUUGGUGAUGCAGUUCAUAUGGAGGUUGAGACUGCUGUCCUACUUUCACUCUGCUUUGCAAUUGAUUGGGAACCCUAAUCACUGUGAAGUCAUUCAUUGAUGUGCAUGGGCUUUGGUGCAUAUUAACAGCUCCACACACUGUCAGACCCUCAACACCUGAAAUGAACAACAUGGAGUGGGAUGAAGAAGAGGGAGGAUAGUGUUGCAGUCCCCUUGUCUUCCUCUUCUUCCCACUCUUUUUGCUUUUGAGUACCAUUAAAAAGUACAAAUGAG